CGUAAAGAUUGCAAUACCUGCGCUUGCUGUACUGCUAAACAACCCAAAAAAGAGGAAAUCAGAGGGGAAAAAAGGUACGUCUAAAAAAACAAAGAAGAACCAAAACUCAAAUAGAUAUUGGUCCGGUGAAUUCAAGAUGGAACGCAUUGCGGGACGCGCAAGUGACUGUUUUCCUUAUAGACAGGCUUUGGGCGAUCAGCAAUCAGCGCACCUGGACCUGAUGAGAGGGAGCUGUAUAAAGGACCAGUGGACCCAAGGAUCCAUGCGGGAACUUAGUUCUCAAUGGUGGACCUUCCUUCCCGAGUCUUAGCCCUUGGAGAUCCUCCGUGUUUUGCCUUCCUCGAUCCUCGACCCUCGCUCUGGACACGGACCUUGUGUCUUCUCUCCUGCCCUGGAUCAUCUGCCUGCCCCACAGACUGCCUUGUUCAUUCGCUCUCGACAACACUUGGUAACACACACUUCAGUUAACCUUACACAUACCCUCACACACACACACUCUUGGGUUUUGACACACACACCAUUCUAUAGUUUAUUUGGUUAGUAUUGUUUAGUUUAUUGUA
This is a long non-coding RNA of Entelurus aequoreus (snake pipefish), 560 nucleotides long. RefSeq lists it as uncharacterized. NCBI's taxonomy places the organism in Eukaryota, Metazoa, Chordata, Actinopteri, Syngnathiformes, Syngnathidae. The transcript is spliced from 3 exons. The record is from RefSeq and is a predicted model, not a curated record.